Molecule: ribosomal RNA, 202 nt
Filed under: uncultured bacterium
Lineage: Bacteria
Description: partial 16S ribosomal RNA
Rfam family: Bacterial small subunit ribosomal RNA
Source: RNAcentral
ACGCUCGACACCUACGGGAGGCCGCAGUGGGGAAUAUUGGGCAAUGGGCGAAAGCCUGACCCAGCAACGCCGCGUGAGGGAAGAAGGUUUUCGGAUUGUAAACCUCUGUCCUCAGGGACGAAGGACGUGACGGUACCUGAGGAGGAAGCCCCCGGCUAACUACGUGCCGGCAGCCGCGGUAAUCUGAGCGGGCUGGCAAGGC